UACGUAGGGGGCAAGCGUUGUCCGGAAUUAUUGGGCGUAAAGGGCUCGUAGGCGGUCUGUUGCGUCGGGAGUGAAAACUUACAGCUUAACUGUGAGCGUGCUUCCGAUACGGGCAGACUUGAGGUAUUCAGGGGAGAACGGAAUUCCUGGUGUAGCGGUGAAAUGCGCAGAUAUCAGGAGGAACACCGGUGGCGAAGGCGGUUCUCUGGGAAUAUCCUGACGCUGAGGGGCGAAAGUGUGGGGAGCGAACAGG
This 253-nucleotide ribosomal RNA is filed under the name uncultured bacterium. Its description in RNAcentral is "partial 16S ribosomal RNA". It matches the Rfam family "Bacterial small subunit ribosomal RNA", at positions 524 to 776 of the family's 1533-position model. The record is from RNAcentral.